Cavia porcellus (domestic guinea pig) is the source of this 478-nucleotide long non-coding RNA. RefSeq lists it as uncharacterized. Lineage: Eukaryota; Metazoa; Chordata; Mammalia; Rodentia; Caviidae. The transcript is spliced from 3 exons. The record is from RefSeq and is a predicted model, not a curated record.
GUGAAAGCACACAAAGAAGAUGAAUUCAUGGAAAGAUCCCCAGGAAAUGCUGCGGUGUGCUCCAAUGAAAAGGAAGGGGGGCCUUUUUCCUCAAAGGACAUCUGCUGCGGCGGGUUGCUUCUGGUCUCACAAUUAGUGAAAGUUCCCCCUGCAAUUGAAUUCAGCGGCAUAAAUUUUCCUCUGAGGACUGCUUUCAUUGCAUCCCAUGGAUUCUGUGCUGGAAAUUGAACUCAGGACCUUGUGAUUGCCACGUAAGCACUGUGCUGCUGAGCUGUAUCACCAGCCCUAAAAUCUGAUUGUUUAAUCAUUAAGAUUCUAUGUACAAUCAGUCUUUCGAAGCACUUUAAACACUUGGUUUUCACAAGAGGAAAUUAACAUUUUUAAGGAAAAUAUUUCACAGAGUCCAGUAAAGCAUUUGGUUAUGCUUUAUCCUCAAGGAACGGAAAACUUUAUUUAUUUAAAGUCACUGUUACAUUUC